This 437-nucleotide ribosomal RNA is filed under the name uncultured Mollicutes bacterium. RNAcentral's name for it is "bacterial SSU rRNA". It matches the Rfam family "Bacterial small subunit ribosomal RNA", at positions 941 to 1382 of the family's 1533-position model. The record is from RNAcentral. Lineage: Bacteria; Bacillati; Mycoplasmatota; Mollicutes.
GUUGUUUAAUUCGAAGAUACACGAAGAACCUUACCAGGUCUUGACAUACCAUUGACAGGUCUAGAGACUAGACCCUCCUUCGGGCAAUGGAUACAGGUGGUGCAUGGUUGUCGUCAGCUCGUGCCGUGAGGUGUUGGGUUAAGUCCCGCAACGAGCGCAACCCUCAUUGUUAGUUACUACCAUUCAGUUGAGGACUCUAAUGAGACUGCCAACGACAAGUUGGAGGAAGUGGGAUGACGUCAAAUCAUCAUGCCCUUUAUGACCUGGGCUACAAACGUACUACAAUGGCCAAUACAAAGAGAUGCGAAGCGGUGACGUGGAGCGAACCUCAGAAAGUUGGUCUCAGUUCAGAUUGAAGUCUGCAACUCGACUUCAUGAAGGCGGAAUCGCUAGUAAUCGCGAGUCAGCAGAUCGCGGUGAAUACGUUCCCGGGUUUU